Molecule: non-coding RNA, 1365 nt
Organism: Prunus mume (Japanese apricot)
Lineage: Eukaryota; Viridiplantae; Streptophyta; Magnoliopsida; Rosales; Rosaceae
Source: RefSeq, a predicted model, not a curated record
AAACCCCGAGAAAAUCAUCACAUCACAUCACAUCACAUGUUGGGUUUUGUAAAUGCAGCUCUGUGAAAUGUUGUUUAUAUUUUGGAUUUGCAAAGUCUGAUCAACAAUCUUGAAAAAUGUGGAUAUUUGGAUGGAAAGGGCAAUCUGGAUUCUCAGCCCGCUCUACAGCUGAGGAAGUUACUCAAGGAAUUGAUGGAACUGGUCUCACAGCAAUUGUUACAGGAGCAUCAAGUGGUCUUGGUCUGGAGACAACACGUGUUCUAGCCUUGCGUUGUGUUCAUGUCAUCAUGGCAGUAAGAAAUACAGAGGCUGGUAGGGAUGUGAGAACAGCAAUACUUAAGGAAAUCCCCACUGCCAACAUCAAUGUCAUGGAACUAGAUCUCAGCUCAAUGGCAUCAGUAAGAAAAUUUGCAUCGGAAUAUAACUCCUCUGGUCUUCCAUUGAAUAUCCUGAUUAAUAAUGCAGGGGUUAUGGCAACUCCUUUCAUGCUUUCCCAAGACAACAUUGAACUGCAGUUUGCAACCAACCAUUUAGGCCAUUUUCUUUUGACCAACCUUCUAUUGGAGACCAUGAAGAAGACAACAAGGGAGAGCAAAAAAGAGGGAAGAAUUGUGAACUUAUCAUCAGAGGCUCACCGAUUUGCAUAUAGUGAGGGGAUUCGUUUUGAUAAGAUUAAUGAUGAAUCAGGAUACAGCAGUAUAUACGCUUAUGGACAAUCAAAGCUAGCCAACAUAUUGCAUGCUAAUGAGCUCACAAAGCGCUUGAAGGAAGAAGGAGUUGCUAUAACUGCUAAUUCCCUUCAUCCUGGAUCAAUUGCUACCAAUCUUCUACGCUACCACAGUUAUAUUAAUGUCAUUGCCAGCACACUCGGUAGAUUGAUGCUUAAAUGAUAACUGCAGGGAGCAGCAACUGAAUGCUACGUGGCGUUGCAUCCGCAAGUUAAGGGUGUCAGCGGCGAAUAUUUUAUGGACAGCAACAAAGCCAAUCCAACCUCUCAGGCUAAAGAUCCAGAACUGGCAAAGAAGCUAUGGGAUUUCAGUUUGAGCCUGACGGAUCCAAAGUAACCAGGAACAAAACUCUGUUGUAAAUUGCAAGUCAAUGUCAAUGUCCCUUUUACCAAGUUUGAGACUUGAGUAGAAGCUUAGACGUUGAAUGACCAUGUAAAACAUAUGUAGGCUAUGUCAGGGGACUUAUCCUUGGCCCUUCCUAAAAUUAUGAACUUUUUUUUUUCCUAUUAAGACGUUGAAUUACCAUGUAAAACAUAUAUAGGCUAUGUCGGGACUUAUCCUUGGCCCUUCCUGAAACUAUGAACUGUGUUUUUUUUGUUUUUUUUUUCCUAUAAUGAAAAACAUGGGUUAUGGUUCU